GGGGAGUACGAUCGCAAGGUUGAGACUCGAAGGGAUUGACGUGGGCCCGCACAAGCGGAGGAGCAGGUGGUGUAAUUCGAUGAUACGCGAGGAACCUCACCUAGGCUUGAAUGCUUUUGGACCGUCCGGGAUACAGGAUGUCCCUUCGGGGCAAAUUGCAAGCUGCUGCAUGGUUGUCGUCAGCUCGUGCCGUGAGAUGUCGGGUUAAGUCCCAUAACGAGCGCUACCCGUAUUCUUAGUUGCCAUCAGGUAAUGCUGGGAACUCUAAGGUAACUGCCUACGCAAGUAGUGAGUAAGGUGGGGAUGACGUCAAAUCAGCACGGCCCUUACGCCUAGGGCUACACACGUGCUACAAUGGCCAGCAUAGUGGGUUGCUACCUGGUAACAGGAUGCUGAUCUCUAAAUCUGGUCUCAGUUCGGAUUGAAGUCUGCAACUCGACUUCAUGAAGUUGGAUUCGCUAGUAAUCGCGCAUCAGCAAUGGCGCGGUGUAUACGUUCUCGGGCAUUGACACACCGCCCGUCAAGCCAUGGAAGCUGGGAGUGCCUGAAGUCUGUNACCGCAAGGAGCGGCCU
RNAcentral lists this ribosomal RNA (573 nucleotides) under uncultured organism. RNAcentral's name for it is "bacterial SSU rRNA". It matches the Rfam family "Bacterial small subunit ribosomal RNA", at positions 875 to 1458 of the family's 1533-position model. The record is from RNAcentral.